CCUACGGGAGGCUGCAGUGGGGAAUAUUGGGCAAUGGGCGCAAGCCUGACCCAGCAACGCCGCGUGAAGGAAGAAGGCUUUCGGGUUGUACACUUCUUUUCUCAGGGACGAAGAAAGUGACGGUACCUGAGGAAUAAGCCACGGCUAACUACGUGCCAGCAGCCGCGGAAAUACGUAGGUGGCCAGCGUUAUCCGGAUUUACUGGGUGUAAAGGGCGUGUAGGCGGGAAAGCAAGUCAGAUGUGAAAACCAUGGGCUCAACCUGUGGCCUGCAUUUGAAACUGUUUUUCUUGAGUACUGGAGAGGCAGACGGAAUUCCUAGUGUAGCGGUGAAAUGCGUAGAUAUUAGGAGGAACACCAGUGGCGAAGGCGGUCUGCUGGACAGCAACUGACGCUGAGGCGCGAAAGCGUGGGGAGCAAACAGGAUUAGAUACCCCUGUAGUC
Molecule: ribosomal RNA, 443 nt
Filed under: uncultured bacterium
Lineage: Bacteria
Description: partial 16S ribosomal RNA
Rfam family: Bacterial small subunit ribosomal RNA
Source: RNAcentral